UGGAUGUUAGGCCUACCCAGGUGA
This 24-nucleotide non-coding RNA is filed under the name Mus musculus (house mouse). Lineage: Eukaryota; Metazoa; Chordata; Mammalia; Rodentia; Muridae. The record is from RNAcentral.